AGGUUCCAAAAUACUCAAUUAUUUAGCGACCGCUAUCCAUUCUUGGAUAAAUGAGGGGGCACUGCCUGGUAUAAACUUAGUUGCCCCCUUGUGCCCCAAAGUACAGGUGUCGUCCUCACGUCUUAGAGACAGACCUUGAACCUCAAAACACUUUGAGAUCAGCCCAGAUCACAGCCGUCUUUCCCCACGAACUGCAGUGACAACUGCGGUCCCCACCCAGAAGAGUGGAGGUGCCAGGGCACAGCCAGCCCCAGCGGGGACGGGGGCUGGCUUGCCAGAGGCCUGACUAUGCAUCAGAGCAAUUUGAGGAGUGGUGUAAAACAUUCCCUGCAGCUUCAGCUAUCCCAGAGGUGUUUGGUUUGCUUGCAGGGCAGCAGGAACUAUACUACAGCUUGCAGCGUGGGUGAGCAGAUGGGGUAGGUGCGCGCAGCAAAACAGCUGGUGGAAUUUCUGAACAGACCCUUUGCUCGUGUGGUCACUUUCGGUUUGCAGGGGACUGAAGUAAGAUCAUCCUUCUGGCCUUUUAUUUCUAUGUUCCUGUUCUUCUAUUCUUAUUUUUAAAUAACAAUUGUUCAGGUUUUCCUAUUAAAUAACAAAUGCAAGUGUUUUGCAAAGUUUUGGCUUCCUGAAAAGGGACCUUCCCCUUUGUAAUCUGCUUUUCAAAAUGUGCUAAGUCAUUCCCUGGGCAAGUUUCUGUUUCAGUUUCCACUUGCUUUUCUAAUGCUGGGUUUCCAUAAAACAGGAGAGUUUCUGUUUUCAAAGU
Harpia harpyja (harpy eagle) is the source of this 763-nucleotide long non-coding RNA. RefSeq lists it as uncharacterized. The record is from RefSeq and is a predicted model, not a curated record. NCBI's taxonomy places the organism in Eukaryota, Metazoa, Chordata, Aves, Accipitriformes, Accipitridae. The transcript has 2 exons.